GUCUGUAGGAGGUCAGAGAUAUACAGGGACUAACGGUCUGUAGUAGGUCAGAGAUAUACCAGAUAUACAGGGACUAACGGUCUGUAGGAGGUCAGAGAUAUACAGGGACUAACGGUCUGUAGGAGGUCAGAGAUAUACCAGAUAUACAGGGACUAACGGUCUGUAGGAGGUCAGAGAUAUACAGGGACUAACGGUCUGUAGGAGGUCAGAGAUAUACCAGAUAUACAGGGACUAACGGUCUGUAGGAAGUCAGAGAUAUAAAGGGACUAACGGUAUGUAGGAGGUCAGAGAUAUACAGGGACUAACGGUCUGUAGGAGGUCAGAGAUAUACAGGGACUAACGGUCUGUAGGAGGUCAGAGAUAUACAGGGACUAACGGUCUGUAGUAGGUCAGAGAUAUACAGGGACUAACAGUCUGUAGGAGGUCAGAGAUAUACAGGGACUAACGGUCUGUCGGAGGUCAGAGAUAUACAGGGACUAACGGUCUGUAGGAGGUCAGAGAUAUACAGGGACUAACGGUCUGUAGUCGGUCAGAGAUAUACCAGAUAUACAGGGACUAACG
Oncorhynchus tshawytscha (Chinook salmon) is the source of this 561-nucleotide long non-coding RNA. NCBI's taxonomy places the organism in Eukaryota, Metazoa, Chordata, Actinopteri, Salmoniformes, Salmonidae. The record is from Ensembl.